GCCUGGGUGGCUCAGUCGGUUAAGCGUCUGACUUCAGCUCAGGUCAUGAUAUCGCGGUUUGUGGGUUCGAGCCCCGCGUUGGGCU
This 85-nucleotide transfer RNA is filed under the name Felis catus (domestic cat). It matches the Rfam family "tRNA". From Rfam's summary of the family: Transfer RNA (tRNA) molecules are approximately 80 nucleotides in length. Their secondary structure includes four short double-helical elements and three loops (D, anti-codon, and T loops). Lineage: Eukaryota; Metazoa; Chordata; Mammalia; Carnivora; Felidae. The record is from Rfam by way of RNAcentral.